Non-coding RNA from Myodes glareolus (Bank vole), 803 nucleotides. NCBI's taxonomy places the organism in Eukaryota, Metazoa, Chordata, Mammalia, Rodentia, Cricetidae. The record is from RefSeq and is a predicted model, not a curated record.
GAGAGAUCUGUGGAACCAAAGUGGGUGCGGGUACCAGAGCGCGGUGCAAAAUUAGUUCUAUGGUAAGAGGAAAAUGUGAAGACUCCAUCUCUUUAGACUCCGCCGUGUGGCCGACUGAAGUCUACUCCUGGGUCCCUUCACGUGGAAGGAUGCUUCUUCUACAGCUGCUCUGGGCCCCAUUUCUGAAUUUCACCUCUUUCAACAGAUGUUGUUGACUCAUGGCCUGUGUCACUUUUGAGGUUAGCCGACACCUCCCCCUUAGAGUGUCUCUCACUUUAAGUCAUGCCUGCAACUCCAGCAAUGAAGAGAUGGACACAGGAAGAUCAAAUCAAAAUCCUUCUUGACUACACAAUGAGCUUGAAGUCAACCUGGACUACAAGAGACAAUGUUCAAAAAAAAAUUGAGGGAGUGGAGAGAGCCCUGAGUUACUGAAGUCCUGAGCGAAUGUUUGUUGACAGGAGUCGACCACGUUAAAGACACCAGAACCUCAGACCCAAGGAGAAAUGGCAGAACCUUUCGCCGGGACAAAGUUUAGAAACAUGGCAAAUCCUUCCUCAGAGGCCCCAAUGUUACUGUUGACGGUGUUUGGAGAAAAUGUCCACCAUAGCUCUCCUGCGUGUUUAAGGCCUGAACACUACACCCCUACAGAGGUUACUCUGCUCAAUGAAGAUUUGCUAAACCUGUCUCCUCGAUCCAGCUGUCUCCUUGUUAAUAAUUUGCAGAUCGUAACCCCACCUCUUUGGCAAGCUGUGUGCAAUAACCUGCCUUUCUGUUCAAAUCUAUAUAAUAAACAGCCUGCGCUC